Molecule: ribosomal RNA, 481 nt
Filed under: uncultured bacterium
Lineage: Bacteria
Description: partial 16S ribosomal RNA
Rfam family: Bacterial small subunit ribosomal RNA
Source: RNAcentral
GAUGAACGCUGGCGGCGUGCUUAACACAUGCAAGUCGAACGAAGCACUUUAUUUGAUUUCCUUCGGGACUGAUUAUUUUGUGACUGAGUGGCGGACGGGUGAGUAACGCGUGGGUAACCUGCCUUGUACAGGGGGAUAACAGUUGGAAACGGCUGCUAAUACCGCAUAAGCGCACAGCAUCGCAUGAUGCAGUGUGAAAAACUCCGGUGGUAUAAGAUGGACACGCGUUGGUUGAGAUAGUUGGGGAGGUAACGGGCCACCAAGGCGACGAUCCAUAGCCGACCUGAGAGGGUGACCGGCCACAUUUGGACGAAGACACGGCCCAAACUCCUACGGGAGGCGGCAGUGGGGAAUAUUGCACAAUGGGCGAAAGCCUGAUGCAGCGACGCCGCGUGAGCGAAGAAGUAUGUCGGGAUGUAAAGCUCUAUCAGCAGGGAAGAUAAUGACGGUACCUGACUAAGAAGCACCGGCUAAAUACGUG